Leopardus geoffroyi (Geoffroy's cat) is the source of this 14611-nucleotide long non-coding RNA. RefSeq lists it as uncharacterized. The record is from RefSeq and is a predicted model, not a curated record. NCBI's taxonomy places the organism in Eukaryota, Metazoa, Chordata, Mammalia, Carnivora, Felidae. The transcript is spliced from 2 exons.
ACAUGUCAGGGAAUAUUGGCAAAUAUUUUCAAACACUUGUAAUCUGUCAAAGAAGUGCUAUGGGGACCCACCUGACUCUUUAUUCUCAAACAAGAAAGGUGCAAAGAAAUGUCGGGAGAAGAAGUUCUCUGAGAGUGCCCAUGUUCCCAUUCAUCCAGCUACAUUUGCCAAGACACAAGGUAAGAGAAAAGGCUGAGGGCUUACCCCCCAUCUAGCAGACUUAUUGGGCUUCUAACAUCAGGCUAGUGGAAGUAAACAGUGCCCAUUCGGUAGCUAACAGAGGUGGGCUAGAUUCAGAACCCAACCAUUUCUCAAUGAGCAACUGUAAGGAAUGAGAGAACGUUUCCCUCUGGGACAAAGGCUAGGGUUGCUUACUGCUUGCUAUAAAAGCAGUGGAUACUCCAAGUUCGGUAUCCUUCUCCUAUAACAGGACUUCCUGCACCGCAGACAUCCACCUGCAUCUUCAGCAUCCCCUCUGUGGUACUUCAAGGUAAAAGGAAUAGUCACAACCUACUCUUAAGGUGUCAAGAGUCAUAAAGGUCUUAAACUGACCCAUGAGUCUCAUUGUCUGAGCAUCCAUGAAAUAACAAACAGGCUAAGUGGUUAACUUUACGGUAAGUUAAGAUCAAAUUCUAGACCCUACAAGAAGCUGCACAGCAAGCUGGGGACCACCUGAAAAAGUAAUAAAGCUUGGGACAGGGCGCACGGUAGUGACAUAUUUAAUGUUAAAUGCCCAGGGGCCAGAACUCCCUUAACUCAUAAAAACCAGAAAAUCAAACUCCAGAAAUUCUAAAGCAAUAUAACAUGGUAUAUGAGAGCAUACACCUGAAUCCAAAUCCCAGAUCAGCCACUCACUGGAUCUGAGACUCUGGGCAAGUCACCUAACCAACCACCUUGUGCCUUGGUUUCCUCAUCUAUAGAAUGAUGGCAAUAAUAAUACAUACCCCAGAGCAUUACUGUUAUGCGAAUUACUGAAUGAAUUUAUGCACAGUGCACAGAACACAGUAAAUGCCACAUGAAUAUUUGCCACAUUACCACCAGCUCUAAAAAUUCAAUGAUUCCAUAGAUCUUUAUACAAUGCCCAUUAUCCUAACUCUUUAUAAUGCAAUCUUCCUGUAUAGGAUAUACUGUUCAGUGAAAAAGUCAGGUGGGAAAAAAAAAUGCAUAUAAUUAGUUACAUUUUAUAAAGAAAAAGGAGACGUUGGUAUAUAAAUAUAUUUGGUUACAUUCUUCAAACAGAGAAAAACCAAAAACUGAAAGACAAAUGGCUAUGUCUGAGGUGUGGGAGGGAAAAACAAUGAUAGGUUUGGAAGCCAGAAUUCUCAGAACAUUCCUGUUCUGUAGAUGUGACUUUGAUACCAUGUAAAUAGUUUAUGUAAUUAUCAAACAAAAUUAUCUCUUAAGAAGUAAUCUAUAAAAAUCAAAAACAAAAUGGAACAUGUUUAAUUGUUCACUGAAUUCGAGUCCAAACCACACAGAGAAAAGCCAUUUUUUCAAUGAUAUUUAAAGAUAGUAAUUCAUAUGUCCCUAAAAGGACCUUGGGGUGCCUGGGUGGCUCAGUUGGUUAAGCGGCCGACUUCGGCUCAGGUCAUGAUCUCACGGUCUGUGAGUUCGAGCCCCGCAUCGGGCUCUGUGCAGACAGCUCAGAGCCUGGAGCCUGUUUCAGAUUCUGUGUCUCCCUCUCUCUGACCCUCCCUGUUCAUGCUCUGUCUCUCUCUGUCUCAAAAAUAAAUAAAUGUUAAAAAAAAAAUUUUUUUUUAAAUAAAUAAAAGGAUAUACCUUAAGGACAAAACAAACUGCUAAUAAAUAAAUAAAUAGCAUUGUUUUUGGUAAUCACAUAGCCACUUUUCCUGCUUUUCUUAAUCAAAUUCUACCCAAAUAUAAUAAAAGGGUUGAAAUAAGGAACUUUCUCUUAAUAGAAUUUUUUGAAAAAGGAAUGACAGCAUCUGAACAUCCCCACUAUGUAGAGACCUGACCAUCGAUGGCUGUCAAUGACACAGAAAGAGAAAGCAGACCUUAUGUGUCUCAUUAAUAGAAAUACACAUCAUCACCUAUGAAGUAUUUCUUACAAAAAAAAAAAAGAAAAGAAAAAGAAAAAAAAAAACAUCAAUCAGAUCAGUCCUUUAGAGCUAACAACCAAUUUACAAAAAAUACAAGUGGGGGACAGAAGAACAUGCUAAAAAAGCACCAUCCAGCCUGUACAAAACUACAGGGCAGAGGAUUCAACUUAUUUAACCAGGUGGAGGGGGGGGGGAACCUAUAGAUUAAAGGGAACCUAUAGAUUAUAGGGGACCUAAGAAACAAGGCAAUUAAUUGCAAAUCAUAGAGCUCUUUGGAUCUAAUAAAGUGUGUGUGUUCUUUUUUUAAAGAGCCAAUUGAGAAAUUUAAACACUGAGUACAUAGGUGUUAACAUUAACAAAUUAUCAUCAGAGCUUAAGGCAUGACAGCAGUAUUGUAAAUUCUGUUUCUAUAGAGUCCUCAUCUUCCAGAAAUAAACACUAAGUAUUUACAUACAGAAUGACUGAUCUAAAAUUUCUGAAACCGUACAUCUGAUACAACCAAGGAGAAGGGAGACUGGGUAGGGACAGAUGAAACAAGGCAGGCCACGAUGAGCAUGCUGAGGUCCACUCAACUAGCCUUUCUACUUCUGUAUGCGUUUCAAAUAUCCCAUAAUAAAAAUCAGUUAUUCUACCAAAUCUCAGCCUUGGGCCAGACACCAUCAGUGGACAGACAUUAUGUUCAACUCUGAUCACUUCCUUACUAAGGGAUAUAGACUUGAGACAAGUAACUUCAUUCUGCUGAGCCUCAGUCUUCUAUUCUGUGAAAUGGCUAUGAUGCAGAGGGAAGGAGAAAACUCAUUUCCGAGUGCCCGGCACAGGGUAUGCACUCUCCCAAUGGAGGCUUUCCACCACCCAGAGCUUUCUAAGGCAACACCACAGCAGGCAGCAAGCUACAGAACCGAAUCUUCCCCCUGCCCAACUUUAAAGACCUGCCUAGUGAGCUUGUGGAUUACUCGUUCAAUCGUCUCCAGCAGGAGUGAUAUUCUUAAAAGAAUAUGCUCAUGUUCUGUGUGGUGAAUAGCAAUUUCCACCAUCUACACACACGCACACACACACACGGCUAGGUGGCCUCUUUCGGGCUGGCCCUAUGUGAUUCACAGGAAGUAAAACACCGUCUCCCAGCUGCAAAGACUCACCAGUUUUAAACAUGCUUUCUUUCCCCAGACAUCCAGCCUGGAGACAUCAGGGACAUCGCCUUCCUUUCUGAGCCUGGGCGAGAGGCUUUGUCAAGUCACUUCCUUGACCAGAUAACACAUCACAUCAGGGAACGGCAUUUGACACGGAUGAAAAAUGAAGUUUACACAAGUUCUUGCUUUGAGAACAUGUGCAACGCGGUUUCUUUUCUCCAACGGCAGCUCUGGUUUGGAAGAUGGCGUGUCUCUGCAAGGCACUGAGUCACUACUCACACUUGUAAAAUAUUCCUGAGCACAUUUGGUGAAUAUUUUCCAACUGUACAUACACAAACGCAUGUGUAGAUUCCCAUAAGCCUGGAGCUUCAUCCUGCCCUCCCUGCGUUUCAAGCUCUUGGUUUUUUACGGCAGUUGCUGAUAGACUUUGCUGGGAAGCAGAGGAACACAUCCCUUGGAGAAAGAAAUGGCUCCAGUCCCCAUGCUGUCCCUUACUGGACAGAUUAUCAAUCUCUAUGUCCAGAUUUCCUUCCAUAAAAUGCAGACAAUAAAACCUAAGGGAUUUUUUCGAGAAUCACGCUGGAUAAAAUACAUAGAGAACUUUGCCCAGUCUCUGGUCCACAGAAUGUGCUUCAUAAAUGCCUAAUAUUAUUACUCUCAUGGUCUGAUGCUAGGUCUCACCCAUCCACGUACCACCCCCCCAGCACCCUGCACUGGGCUUGACAUAAGGUAAGCUCACGAUAUUUGUUAAAUCAAUGCAUGAAUGAAAUGGAGAUGAUUAAAUUUAACCUGUCUCUAUUUGUUAAAAAGGAGUCAAGUGGAGGCAGGCCUGGGUGGCUCAGUCGGUUAAGCGGCCGACUUCAGCUCAGGUCAUGAUCUCGCGGUCCGUAAGUUCGAGCCCCGCAUCCGGCUCUGUGCUGACAGUUCGGAGCCUGGGACCUGCUUUGGAUUCUGUGUCUCUCCCUCUCUCUCUGCCCCUCCCUGACUCACGCUCUGUCUCAAAAAUAAACACUAAAAAAAAAUUUUUUUUUAAAAAGGAGUCAAGUAACUUUAAGUCUCUCAAAAACAUAUAGUACUAUUAUCUUAAAUAUCAGUGAGACUCAUCAAAGAUGGACACACUCAUCCAGGUGAGAGGUGCUGAGGGCCUGGCCUGAAACAACUGAGGCAAAUGAAGAGAGGGCAGGGGCCAGACUCCAGAGACCUUCAGAAGCCAGGAUCAGUAAGAGGUGGUGGCUUUUAAAUGCAAGGGGUGGGAGGAAAAGGGCAGGGUGACACAAUGACGAAGCAAAUUUGGGAGAAAAUUUAAAGACGUGAAUUUUGCACUUCCUGGGAUCAACACCACCUUAGGACACCCAAGGAGAGAACUGACUUUUUUUUUUUUUUUAGUUUAUUUUUUGACAGAGAGAGAAAAAGGGAGAGAGAGCAGGGGAGGGGGAGAGAGAAAGACUGAGGAUCCAAUGCAGGCUCUGUGCUGACAGCAGCGAGCCCGAUGCGGGGCUUGAACUCACGAACCGGGAGAUCAUAACCUGAGCCGAAGUUGAACGCUUAAUCCACUGAGCCACCCAGAUGCCCUGAGAGCUGACUUUUAACAAGGCAGAAAUAGAUUGCACACAGAUGUUCAUAGCAACACUAUUCACCAUCGCCAAGCGGUGGAAGCAAUCCAAAUGCCCAAUGAGGAAUAAACAGACAAACAAAAUGUGGUAUAUGCGCACCAGAGGAUAUUAUUCAGCUUUUAUAAAGGAAGGAAGUUCAGACACAGGCUCCAGCAUGGAUGAACCUUGAGAACAUUCUGCUAAAUGGAAAAAGCCGGCAACAAGAAGACACAUACUGUAGGGACUCCACUUAGGAGAGGCAGUGAGAAUAGUCAGACCCCGGAAGGACAGAAAGCAGAAUGGUGGUGACUGGGGCUGUUUCCUGGGUGAAGAGUGUCAGUUCUGCAAGACGAAAGUUCUGGAGAAGCGCUGCACAACAAUGUGCCAACAACACUACUUAACUGUACAUUGUUUAAAAAACAGGUGGAAAUAUGAAUCUGGAGUCAUGAGCCAGAGGCGCUCCCUACUCCCCAUCUGCACGAACUUGGUGGCUCACGAACUCUGAACCCACCUCUGAACCCACCUCUGAACCCACCUUCCACUCUGCCAGGUAGGCCAAUAAGAGACGGUCAUUUGUCUGCAGACCUCCAACAAGCUCGCAGGACAGUGAGGAUGAACAUAUUCUGGGAGGAGCAUACAGCUACCUGCACAUCACGCCCUUAGGAAAGCCCCAGAAGCCUCUACCCCUCUCCGAUCUAUCGGGAACUGCAAUAUUUCAGCCCAUGGUCUCUGUUCUUUAAUCCUUCUUCCUCACCUGUGCCUCCAUGAUCCACGAAGCCUUUUUUAUUUUACCUUCUUACCAUUUUGGUCCCAGCUGUGGCCGAGUGAGGUAUACGUACAAUCACUCCUGACUUGCAGAGCAAAGCAAGCCAGCUUGGCCAAGCCUGGGAGUGAGGGAGAAAAAAAAAAAAACAAAACAAAACAAACAAACCCAAGUCCAAGUUGUGUAAGAGCAGUGACUGUAUACCAAUUAAAGGCUGCGGGGCCUGAAAUGUAAACAAAACCGUCUGGUGAGUGUCUGUCACUUUACUAAGGGGAGAUUGUGCAAACAACUCACGUGGUUCUUUCGUGGGAACAAAGCUUUAUCGGAUGAGAGUUUUAACAACUCCCACAGAGAAGCCAGGCCCUAAGUCCCCUAUGGCCAUCGACGUCUCCUGGCUGAGACACUCCUCACCAUUCCAUCCUUUACUGCUAAAAUCAGGAAUAAUUUUAUUAGAGGGGAGAGAGAGAGGAAGAGAGAGGAAGAGAGAGAGAGAGAGAGAGAGAGAGAAAGAGUGUGAGCAUACUCCCUCUGCCUCAGUUUCCUCAUCGCACAAUGAGAAUGGCAACCCUGGUCUCCCUGGGCUUUAGGAGGAGGGAGCGAGAGGCCACAGGCAAAGCGCCCCAUUCUCUGUUGUGUAGCAGGGACACCAAAGAGGACGGCUAGUACAUCCCGUGUCGCUACAGUCAUUAUUCAAACCCCCACGUGCUUGACGCACUUGUCCAAAUAAGCAGACAGGUGUUAAAUUUUCUUUGUGACCACAAUCGUUCCUAAAAUUAAACACUUGCUCACAACCAGUAACAAGGUGGAUAUUAAAAAAUAAAGAAGCACCCAUGCAGGAGACAUUUUGUUCUUUAUGCUGCCCCAUGGCUUCUGAGUCUUGUCUUCAGCCCCAGAACCACAGGCGUUAAUGCAUGCAUAAGCCAAUCCAGCUGAUCCGGCUGGAUCAAGGUAAGGUUCUUUCCCCCGUGAUACAAAUGUACCGACUGAGGCUGGGGUAGGGGAAAUAAUUUAGAUCUAAUAAUAGACACCACUGGGUUUCUAAAGGUUCCAAGUGUCCAUACACAAUUUUAGAAUCUAUCAGAUCCUUGCUGGGCUAAUGAGGCCUCUUGCUGGGAAUCCAAAUUCCCUUUGUAAACUCCAUUAACAGCCCAUGAGGCAGGUGGGAAAAUAUGAAUGUUCUUAUGGUAAUAAUGCCUUGGGCAUAAAAGGAGGCACUGGGAAAUCGCAUCCACUUGUGCCACAUGCUUAGUUAGAACAUUAGAGAUAAAGGGAGAAAAACAUCUCUUCUUGGAGAGAGCUUAGGAUGUGCCCAACCCCCAAACCCUGCCUGCCCCCUGCACCCUCAUACCUGAACUAGGCGGCAAUGGGAAUCGGUAAAGACAGAAAGGGGGUUUCUUAAAUGCAGCGACCGUCCCAAAAAGUGUGGGGUAAGAAGUUUUGCCCAUGCUAAUUUUGCCAAGUUCAUUUGUGUCCCCAGAUGAUUUUCUGGGGUCCCUCACAACUUUCUGCCUACUUGUUUGUUUGUCAUUGCCUGGGAGAGAAUUUUUCUUAGUAAGAACGCAUGGAAAGUUUUGACUUCGGGAGUUCAGAUUCCAUUAUGAACCAGUGCAUUUUUAAAAUGUUUUUGCUUUCAAAGCAAAAAAAAAAAAAAAAAAAAAAAAAAAAAAAGCUGAUUUUCCUAUCUGUGCAUCCGUGCAAAACCAACACAGAAAAUUUGCUGAAUAUUACCCAAAACACCCACAGUUAGGCCAAAAGAAGGGAUGGAAAAUUUUAGCCCCAAAGGAAUUUUUUUUUUUUUUUUUUUGGACCCUGGAAGCACUGGCACAGGAGGAGGAGGGCUUGGAGGGCGUCUCCUGAGUGGCUGGGAACACAUUCUGACUUUUCACCCACAGUUGCCUGACUGAUGCGAAGAUGCCUCCUGUUGGAGGUACGGGGGCUCCCCAGGGAGCGGAACAAGUUGACAGCUGAGCAGUCCACAGCAUUCCAUCUGUCACUCCGCACAGCCCAUCACCUCGACUAUCUUGGUUUAUCUUACCCCAAGUCGCCCAACCUCACGGUCUGCCCGUCGUAAAGACUUUAUGGGAUUCUAACCUUUUUUGGAUCCUGAACCUCUUCGAGAAGCCAGCGAAAGCUUCCCCGCAGGAGCACGCACGCACCUCCAAAUAAUUUUAGAAGGUGCUGGAUCCCUCCCCUCAAGCACAUCCGAGAAACUUCAGUUUGAAGCAGCCCCGUUACGUAGCCCCCAAUUUCUCUUCACACUCGUAAGGCAAACUCCUGAGCCCCAGCUCUAAUGUCUACACCUAACUUGUUUAUGAGCGCCCAUCAGCCACCUAACGCGUUGGUGCGUUCGGAGGUUUGUCUGCACAAGGGCAAAAAUAAGCACGUGCACACGCACACGUCUUGGCAGGAAUGAAAUAGCAAAGCCAAGUCCCAAAUGGCGCGCGCUCAUUUAGCCUCCUGGCCCUUGACGAUACGAAGCCAGUGCUGGGAGUGAAGGCAGGGCCAGCGAUCACACUCGCGUCAAGGAGCCAGGAUUGGUCAGCCUUCUUCCAUUCGAUAAGCAGCAGCACUGAAUAAUAACCCAACAUGCUGGACACUCUCCCACCUCCGUAAGCGAUUUGCUAUUAAACACUUACUGCUCCCCAACAAAGCCUGCCUGCCAACAGGGUAUUUUUAAACACUUUUUUUGUUUGGAGUGGUCAGGGAGAAAGCGGGGAGUGUGGGGGGGGGGGGCAUUCCUUUUGGUUUCUAGGUCUCUUUCCUGCAACUUAAAGGCUAGGAAAUAAUGAAAUGAAAACCCGAGGCAGAACUUCCAACCUAACCCUUUUCAUUGACUGCAUGGGGUUAGGUGUUGUUCAGGUCUUUAGGGCAUCGUAAAAGAGCUAGCUCUCUGAUCAGAGCACAGCUGUCCUACGUGGGUUUCCUUGCACAGAAACGCUAUCCCCAUCAGAAGGUGCGGGGUCAAACCUCAAGAGGAAAGCAAUCCAGUCCAACUCUCGCCGUGACAUGACUGGGCAGUCAAGCCCGUGAACUGCAAACAUCGUACCGGAUCAUUUCUGUGCUAAAGGAAGUGGGAUUCCAAGGGCUAGAGGCUCACUUCGGGCAGAGCUGGAUCCAGGCAGUCGUCUUGCCUUCUCUCCCCCUCAUCUACCUUCCUUUACGAGGUCUUCACUCCUAGGUCAACUUCCCUGCAUGUGGCAGCAAUGACAGACAUUGGAAUCUCUGGACAUAAAGUUUUUACAGCUAGCAGUCCUAGAAAAGAAAGUGGCCUCUGUCUCUCUCGCUCUCUCUCUCUCUCUCUCUCACUCUGAGUCCAUUUGUCAAACCUCAUGGUAGGCUUUGAUUAUCACAAUCCUUGGGCCAAUCCUUGUACGUGGGAGCCCUUCUCUAUGUCAUGGCCAGCCACGCCUGGACCACAUUAUCAUGUCUGCAGCCCUCGUUGGGGAAAGGCAACCCUCGGUCACAAAAACGAGGUGCUAGACAGGCGAAAAGCCAACGGCCACAACAAAGACUCUUCCAUGAGGCCUAACACAAGAAUCUCCUAGCAAUGAAGAACUCACUUUGCCCUGAAGAGGAAGGCCAUUAACCUCUAACGCCCGUGUUAACAACAGCAAAUCACAACCCUCUACAGAAACCAAACCCUUCCCACAGCUGCUCUCACUGAAUGCCUCUUGCAGGUGAAAGGAAAAAAAAGGAGAUAAAGCGGAGAUUAUUCUAUGUCGGAAAGAAGUAGUCUGCAAAUAAACUAAAGAAAAGGAAUAUGCAGGUUAUUCAGGAAAAUAGCUCAGAACCUUUUAUAUUAAGAACAAUGCCUGUGUUACAGUUGAAAGGAAAAAUAAAAUCAAUCUUCUUUCACGAGGCAGGUGCAGUAAGAGGUUGAUGGUAUAGAAACAAUGUGCCUUUGAGGUUCUGAAGGAAGGAACCCACCCCGACCCGACCCUGCCCCAUGCACCUGCACCGUCACCUUCCCCACGAAUCUUCUCUAGGUCUGUCUGGGCCUCUCUGGUCUUACAUCGGGUCAUCAAACACUUGAAUGCUAUGCUCUAAAAUCUCUCAGCAAAGAUGUUCCCGCACACACAGGAAACAUCCACAGGCCCCAACUAGCCCCAAAUGGUAUUGGUUUCUACUCCCUUCAGGAAACUCUUGGGGAACAGAUUUCUUCAUCCAGACAAUCUUCGCUUGGAAAACUGGUUGAAUUUCUUUUCCAUUCUAGGAUUCCCAUGCUCAUGAGGCAAAAGGCAAAGCCUCAGCUGGAAUAGCAUCCUGAGAGGCUCAGCAACAGCUCUGACUCCUUCCUCUCUUCCAAACUGUGUCCUGUGUUUGUGCAAGAGUCCCCGCCCCCAUCCCCAACCCAACGCCCAGAUCACCUGCGAUCACAGUAGAUAACACUAUUUAUUCUGGCUGUGGCAUCCAUGAUGUGCAACUUCUUCCCUUACCACCUAGCUUCCUUUCUUGUUUUAUUUGCUAUCCAAAAGACAAAUGCAGUUUGAGAUGGAUGAUGUAGAGCCAAGGGUCCAAAAUGGCAAGCCACCAACGUACUCGAGCUGGCUUCUGUGUUGGUGACCCGCGGGAGGAUUUGGAGAGGAGGUCAACGAGCUGGCAAUUCAGUCCACUUGCAAACUAUGGAUUUCCGAUCACUCUUAAAAAUCCAAAGAUUUGGCAGGACUGACUCUGUACUCGGAUGAAGAAAGAACCCUCAGUUCCUCAGCCUCCAUCUAUGGUCUGCUUUUCUCAUUUGCUGGCCGAGCCCCUGUAGCACUUAAGAUUUCUACCCUGGGCAGAAGAUGUGGCCUGGGGCUGACAACAAGGGCACCCACACUCCUGGCCAGCCCAAAGCAUCUUUUCAUGGCACACUUGUGUCUCACUUACUUAUCUUCUGGAAAAAGUCACAGCCAGGCCAAAGGGCUGCCUUCCAAUUCACAUGGGAUCACGGCACUAACCCAAGCUUUUAAGUCUUCGGCAAAUGUGGACGGAUGUGGCUCAAACCACAAAGAUGUUCAUCGUUCAAAUGACCAACGAGCACACCCAGCAUUUCUAGAUUAUCAAAAUACCCUAUAGUUAUCUUUGUGAUAAUUAACACAAUAAUUUCACAUAUAAUUGAUAUAUUACGAACUUUACAACAGGUCCAUUGAAAGUAGGUUUACAUGUAUAGUAAAAGUAGGGUCUUAAAAGAAAAAGGCUGGAAGGAAAUAUACCUAAAUAUCGACAAUAACUUUCUAUAGGUACCCAGAUUAGAUAUUAUAGUUUCUUAUUAUAUUUGGGGUUUUCUCCAUGUUACUAAAGUGAGAAUACAUUCUUUUGAAAAACUGAGCCAAUAUCAAGAAGCAAAUUAGGAAGUAAUGUGUCAAAACCCAGAAAGCCAACCAAUACAUCAUGUUGUGGUAAUGGGCAUCCUCUAGGGUGCCUCUGACUUCGGAUGAACCAGAUCGCCUGCUGCCUGGGGCCAUGCUAGCAUUUAAGGUACUUUGAGAUGAGCCACAGGAAGGGGUCUGCAGGCAAAGAAGAGCCCUGCUGAUUUAAUGCAGGACUGAAGAGGUUGCUAUUCUUAGAUCUACUAGGUGGAUUAUGUCCCAAGCUGAAAAUCAGGAUCCAACUGCUCUUGUCAAAGACCUGCCUGUGUGUUUCAGUAAGUCAGUCACUUAUCUCACGCCUCACUUUCCACAUCUGGAAAUGGAGACGAUAGGACCACAAAAAAAGAAGAGGACAACAUUUAUUGAUCUCCACCACGGACAGGGUACCUGAUGCAAAGGAUAGCAAGGCAGAUCCCUGCAAGGUAGACCCCGGCCUCUUUUUACUGCUAAGGAAACAGGCUGAGGUUAACCAGAAAGGUGUCCAAACUCCUGGUGGCAGGUCUGAAGGGGAGCCGGGGUUUGAAUCUCAAAACUGUCAGGCUCCAGAGCCCACGCUGAGAGUCUCGUCCAAGGUCACCCAGGCAGAGAGCACAGAAGCGAUUCCAUGAGCCACAGGGCGUGAAUUAUGAGCAGCUGAAAAUGAACAAGAAGCACCUCGCAGCCCAGGCAAUAUGGAAGCACCAGAUAAGAGCCCCUUGCAUGUUUCCUAGCGCGUUGCUAAAACACACCGAAAAUGGCAUGUGACCAGCAGCUGGGGAGAGGGGGUGGAACACAGCCAAAGCAAAUUGACCAGUGUUACGGUGCCAUUUAUUUUAGAAAAAGAAAUUAAUGAGGGAGACUUCAAUAUCAAUGAAGUUGCAAGAAUAUAAUGAGUUAUGCUUGCUCCCACGAGGGAAAGCUUUUUAAUUAUUUUUUUCAGAUGAACUGCAGUCACAGUGUAUUUGAUCCAUACCCGACCCACACUCUGCGGAGAGUUGAAACACGUUUUACCCAAUGUCAAGUUAAAAUAAAAACUCAUCAGAAGCAAAAUAACUCUGGGCUCCCAGGGCUCCGACGAGAAGUUUGGUUCUCUCUGGCUGCCGGCUGUAUCAUAGUGACCUUUGUACUGAACAAACACUUGGCAGAUGAAAUCUGAGAAUAAUUCUCUCUGCAUCAACUGGAACACAGUGAGCUCCGCUGGGUCUCAAUACAAGCGAUCAAAAAACAUGACACAUUUGUGUCUAAUACAUGUGCCACACAACUCAGGGCAAUUGCUCUGUGGAUUCGGGCAGCCUGCAAGGGCUCCAUUCUUCCUGGGAAUUCAGAAGGCUCUCACGGGGUUCUUCUGGAAGAAUCCCUUUCCUCUGGCCAGCCUCCAUUCCACCUAAAGACUUCUCUCUGUCUCGGUGUUCUCCCCAUGCACACGCAUGUGUGUAUCAGUGUUGCAUGUGUGCCUGCCUACCAAACACACUUCCACAACUCAAACUGAUCUGGUUUCACCUUGUUCCCGUUCUGUUGAAAACACGGUGCACUUGUAUUAAAACUGCCCAGAACUACACACACACAAACGAGUACACAUCAAAACUGGCAAAAUCUGAAUCAGCUCCACAGACGGUACCAUGUUAAUUUCCUGGUUUUGAUAUUGCAUUUCAGUCAUGCGCCGUGUUACAUUGGGGGAAACUGGAUGAACAGUAUGGGGGACUUCCCGGUACUUUGCAGCAACUUGUGAUUCUAGAAUGAUCGCAAAAUAAAAAGUUGUUUUGUUUUUAAGCUACAUCUUCAAAUAAUUUCUUGAGCACAAACGUCCACACACACACACACACAACAACGCAGUUCCUUAUAAAAAAAGUUUGGGCAAAAGACCCAAGGGUCUUGGUUUAGUUUGGUACUGAUUCCCUCAGUACUGGUUGUGGGAUGAAUCACACACCCCUCCCCGCCCUGGACAAAUUCAUGUUGGGGCGCUAACCUCCAGUACUGCAGUACAUGACUGCAUUUGGAGAUAGAGCCUUAAAGAGGUAAUAGGUUAAAUGAAGUCAUACAGGGGGUCCCUAAUCCCAUAUGACUGCUGUCCUCUCAAGAUGGGGAAAUCAUGGGGCGCCUGGGUGGCGCAGUCGGUUAAGCAUCCGACUUCAGCCAGGUCACGAUCUCGUGGUCCGUGAGUUCGAGCCCCGCGUCAGGCUCUGGGCUGACGGCUCAGAGCCUGGAGCCUGUUUCCGAUUCUGUGUCUCCCUCUCUCUCUGCCCCUCCCCCGUUCAUGCUCUGUCUCUCUCUGUCCCAAAAAUAAAUAAACGUUGAAAAAAAAAAAAAAAAGAAGGGGAAAUCAGGCCACAAAGAGCCCCCAGGGGUGUGAGCACACAGAGGAAAGACCCCGUGAAGGGAGGAAAAGGAGGAACAGGAGCCAUCUGCAAGCCAAGAGAAAGGCCUCAGAGGACAACAGCUCUCAGGAUGCCUUGAUCUUGGACUUCCCGCUUCCAGAACGGUGAGAAAAUAAAUUUCUGUGGCUUAAGCCGUCCAGUCUGUGGUGUUAGGUUAGGACAGCCUUAGCAAACUAACACAGGACCCACAUCCUGCACGCCUCAUUCAUCUGGUUUCGUCCCCUGGGAAUGAGCCCCCACAGCAUCCAUCUUCAACAGGGAAACGGCGGCUCAAGUGUGGCAGGAAAACCAAGUCAAGUAAGGAACAAAGGUCCCAGCACAGAAGAGCUAAAUAGCAGGUUAACUCCUUCCCUACCCGGCGAGGCUGGUGCUCAGCUACCUGAAUUAUCAACACAUGGAAGAGAAGGGCACCUACCUGGGGGGCUCAGUCAGUGGAGCAUCCGACUUUGGCCCAGGUCAUAAUCUCACAGUUUCUGAGUUCGAGCCCCGCAUCGGGUUUGGGGCUGUCAGUGCAGAGCCCCCUUCUGAUCCUCUGUCUCCCUCUCUCUGUGCCCCUCCCCCACUCACACUCUUUCUCAAAAAUGAAUAAAACAUUCACACACACACACACACACACACACACUCGCGCACGCACGCAAAGAGAGACAACAAGUCUUCCGGGGGAGCCCCCGGAGCAGAGCCAGUGGCAGCUUGGGGGCAGCUGUAAGGAGACAGAUUUCUAACCCAAUGGAAGUACAAUCACCUAAUGGCUAUCGUGGUUCAAAAAGGGAAUCAUCAGCGAUGUGAGGGGAGGGGAGGGGAGGGCCCGUGCAUCUCAGGAGAGAGGGAAGCAGAAGGCGGAAUACGCAGCCGCCCCUGUCUGGGAAGCACCAGCUCUAGUCUGAAGCCACCUCUACUCAAAGCAGUGGCGGCUCCACAACCCUGUCCUGGACUGUGAGCCGGGACCACCCUCCCCUCUGCCUAUUCCCACACUUUGGGCCGGGGCACCCACUCUCCCUUCCGAUCGCACCUCUCCCCUCGGCUUUGAGGCACGUUGCUCUCUUCCCUCCUGGCUGGCUCCCAACAUUAUUACCUCCUGAAGACCUCAUGCUAUCUUGUGGCAGGCCCGGACUUGUACCUGACCCCCUGGACCAGCCACCAGCCCUCUCCCCUGCCAACCCCAGCCUUGUGACACAUCCCAGACGUACAUGGAAAAACCCCCACCCUCAGACCACAAGUCCAGCUAAGUUAUCUUAGACAAGUCAUUUAACUGCUCAGAAUCACAGGGUCCCGUCUGCCUUCUUGACAACAGCAAACACUUAAAACAAACGAACAACAAAGAAAAAAAAAAAAAACUAUGUCCAACAAUAGAGGGCAUUAAAGAU